RNAcentral lists this small RNA (124 nucleotides) under Marmota monax (woodchuck). The record is from RNAcentral. Lineage: Eukaryota; Metazoa; Chordata; Mammalia; Rodentia; Sciuridae.
GCCAGGUGCAGUGGCACAUGCCUGUAAUCCCUGCCACUCGGGAGGCUGAGACAGGAGGAUCAUGGUUCACAGCCAGCCUCAGCAACAGCAAGGCGCUAAGCAACUCAGUGAGACCCUGUCUCUA